CCUACGGGUGGCAGCAGUGAGGAAUAUUGGUCAAUGGUCGGGAGACUGAACCAGCCAAGCCGCGUGAGGGAUGAAGGUACAGAGUAUCGUAAACCUCUUUUGUCAGGGAACAAAGGCGGGGACGUGUCCCCGGAUGAGUGUACCUGAAGAAAAAGCAUCGGCUAACUCCGUGCCAGCAGCCGCGGUACUACGGAGGAUGCGAGCGUUAUCCGGUUUUAUUGGGUUUACGGGGGGCGCAGGCGGUCUUGUAAGUCAGCGGGAAAAGCCGGGGGAUCAAACCCGGCCCGCCGUUGAAACUGGCAGUCUCGAGUUGGAGAGAAGUAUGCGGAAUGCGCGGUGUAGCGGUGAAAUGCAUAGAUAUCGCGCAGAACUCCGAUUGCGAAGGCAGCAUGCCGGCUCCACACUGACGCUGAGGCACGAAAGCGUGGGUAUCGAACAGGAUUAGAUACCCCAGUAGUC
RNAcentral lists this ribosomal RNA (459 nucleotides) under uncultured bacterium. Its description in RNAcentral is "partial 16S ribosomal RNA". It matches the Rfam family "Bacterial small subunit ribosomal RNA", at positions 338 to 795 of the family's 1533-position model. The record is from RNAcentral.